GCGCGAGUCGUAGGGUGCUCGCAAAAUUAUACGAAACGAAACCCGAAGGCGCAAUGAAAGUGAAGGUCGGUAGAACUGACUGACCGAGGCGGGAUCCGUCCGUUACAUCGAACCGCGGGUCGCGAGGCUCGCGGGUCGGGUUCGGCGGCGCACCGCCGGCCCGUCUCGACCGCUUCUCGUCGGCGAGGCGGAGCAAGAGCGCACACGUUGGGACCCGAAAGAUGGUGAACUAUGCUCGGGCAGGACGAAGCCAGAGGAAACUCUGGUGGAGGUCCGUAGCGAUUCUGACGUGCAAAUCGAUCGUCGGACCCGAGUAU
This 317-nucleotide ribosomal RNA is filed under the name Cormocephalus sp. WAM T81505. RNAcentral's name for it is "partial large subunit ribosomal RNA". It matches the Rfam family "Eukaryotic large subunit ribosomal RNA", at positions 684 to 918 of the family's 3401-position model. The record is from RNAcentral. Lineage: Eukaryota; Metazoa; Arthropoda; Chilopoda; Scolopendromorpha; Scolopendridae.